RNAcentral lists this transfer RNA (69 nucleotides) under Tanna japonensis. RNAcentral's name for it is "tRNA-Val". Lineage: Eukaryota; Metazoa; Arthropoda; Insecta; Hemiptera; Cicadidae. The record is from RNAcentral.
CAAACUAUAACUAAUAUAUAGUAUUUUAUUUACACUAAAAUUUUAAUUUGUUGAAUCAAUUUAGUUUGA